AUUGAACGCUGGCGGCAGGCCUAACACAUGCAAGUCGAGCGGCAGCGGGAAAGUAGCUUGCUACUUUUGCCGGCGAGCGGCGGACGGGUGAGUAAUGCCUGGGAAAUUGCCCAGUCGAGGGGGAUAACAGUUGGAAACGACUGCUAAUACCGCAUACGCCCUAAGGGGGAAAGCAGGGGACCUUCGGGCCUUGCCGGAUUGGAUAUGCCAAGGGGGGAUUAGCUAGUUGGUGAGGUAAUGGCUCACCAAGGCGACGAUCCCUAGCUGGUCUGAGAGGAUGAGCAGCCACACUGGAACUGAGACACGGUCCAGACUCCUACGGGAGGCAGCAGUGGGGAAUAUUGCACAAUGGGGGAAACCCUGAUGCAGCCAUGCCGCGUGUGUGAAGAAGGCCUUCGGGUUGUAAAGCACUUUCAGCGAGGAGGAAAGGUUGAUGCCUAAUACGUAUCAACUGUGACGUUACUCGCAGAAGAAGCACCGGCUAACUCCGUGCCAGCAGCCGCCGCUG
Molecule: ribosomal RNA, 508 nt
Filed under: uncultured bacterium
Lineage: Bacteria
Description: partial 16S ribosomal RNA
Rfam family: Bacterial small subunit ribosomal RNA
Source: RNAcentral